AUGCUCACUUCGGCAGCACAAAUACUAAAAUUGGAACGAUACAGAGAAGACUAUCAUGGCCCCUGCGCAAGGAUGACACACAAAUUCGUGAAGCAUUCCAUAUUAAA
RNAcentral lists this small nuclear RNA (107 nucleotides) under Castor canadensis (American beaver). The record is from RNAcentral. Lineage: Eukaryota; Metazoa; Chordata; Mammalia; Rodentia; Castoridae.